Clarias gariepinus (North African catfish) is the source of this 1397-nucleotide long non-coding RNA. RefSeq lists it as uncharacterized. Lineage: Eukaryota; Metazoa; Chordata; Actinopteri; Siluriformes; Clariidae. The record is from RefSeq and is a predicted model, not a curated record. The transcript is spliced from 2 exons.
CACACACAUACACACUCAAUCACACAAACAAAUAAGCACAAACUACCUGCUGUCAGUUCAAGGUGGACAAUUAAUGUGGGAGGUUAUGACUUUUUAUAAUCUUAAACUUUAAUACAUUUUGUUUUAUUUUAUUAACCACUCACAUUUAAAACUAAAAAUGGAUCAGUGACCAAUUCAACUGUUUGAAGCAAACACAGAGAGAAAAGGGAAAGUAUCUGUGAAAGUUUCUUGUCUGUAGAGUAUUUCCUUGAACAACUUUCAUUGGAAUCCUUUACUGUAAAAUGAUAACCACUGAGGAAGUGUCAACUAUUUUUUUUGACUUGUAGUUAUCAAUCUUCCAGUUUUCAGUUCAGUGACUGAGUAAUAUACGCUAGUGACUGUUCUUGAGAAUUUGUUGAUGGUUUAAAUUCCAACAAUCACCUCUAAUAGGCACAGAGUCCAUGCAAAGCCUUAUUUUCCCAAAGUAUCUCACUUUUUUUGUUUUUUAACUAUAUAUGUAUACACCUGUUUGAAUAAAAAAAAUUAACAAAAUACAUUAUAGGCACAGUACAUUUUGAAGAAAAUGUUAGGUUUAAAUAUAAAGUAGUUAAUGGUGUACUUAUCUCAGACAAGUCAGUGGUAAGAGGUGUGGAGUGACUGGUCAUGGAAAUGAUUUAAUUCAUUUAGGGAACAUGAAUGAUACAGAAAAUUGUUUUUCUUGUAUACAUUUUUCUGAUUAGAAAUAUUUCUGAUCAUUUGUUCAAUCCCUGUGCAGUGGAAUGUGCUUGAUACAGCACUGAGCUGACUGUAGACAUUCUUUCAGGGUGCCUGAACCAGCUUAACUGGGUUCUUUCAAUUUAGCAGAGCAAUGAAUCUACUCUGAGGCUCGGAUGAAUUGUUGAGCUCAUUCUCCUAUCACUGAGUAAACCCAGCAUGUCUGCGGAGGAAGCUUAUUUCCAUCACCCUAUAUUUCACUACUUAUAACCCCUGACUAUAGGUGAGGAUCAGAGAUGGGUAGUAGCGAGUUACAUUUACUUGAGUAACUUUUUGGGUAAAAUGUACUUCUAUGAGUAUUUUUACUGCAUCAUACUUUUUACUUUUACUUAAAGCUUUGUGAAGAAUAAAUGCUACUCUUAAUCUUUUUUUGUUUAUUUUUUUGCAACUUUCUCAAAUUUUGCGGAACGCCCAUAAAUCAAUGCUGCUAAUAGUGGGAUCUUGCGGUUAGUGUAUCAUCAUGCGCUCCCUGUACUCACAUUAAGGCCUUGUUUACGAUGUUUAUUGUAAACAUCGAAACCCAAACGUCCAUGUGGAUCAUCAGCACAAGCAAUAUUGAAGGUUGCAUAUUUUACUAUUUCUCUAACAAGUUAGCAUAAAUCUCAUUCCCUGUCUUUCAGUGCUCCAACUGAAAGAGAACGCAA